RNA transcript from Oryza sativa Japonica Group (Japanese rice), 5185 nucleotides. It is a transcript of the gene named disease resistance protein RGA2, with no coding region annotated. NCBI's taxonomy places the organism in Eukaryota, Viridiplantae, Streptophyta, Magnoliopsida, Poales, Poaceae. The record is from RefSeq and is a predicted model, not a curated record.
CUCUCUCUCCCGGUGACGCAGCCUCACUCUGUCGUUAUCACUGUCACCCCGCCCAAAUUCCCCAUUCCCCUGCAACUCGCGAAUCGCGAGAAUGGAGGAGCUAGUAGAAGAUAACGGAUGGCCGCUGCCGGCGGCGAUCGCCAGGGUGGUCGGCAAGCUGCGUCUCCACCUGGGAGGCAGCAGCGACGCCCACAAGUACAGGGGCACCAUGAAGAUGCUCGAUCUGCUGGAGGACAAGCUCAGCAUCCUCCGCGGCGAGAGCCUGCAGGGCGUCGACGCCGACAGGGAGGAAGAGGCGGCCGCGUGGCUGCGGCAGGUGAAGGAGGCCGCCGACGAGGCGGAGGAGCUGGUCAACGCCAUGGAGGCUUCCGCGGCGGCCGCAGCUUCCGAUAGUAGCAGCCUCCUCCUCGGGGUGAAGUACACCGUCGGCAAGCUCGUCAGCGCGUGCUCCGAGGUCGAAUCGCUUCUUCCCGUGCCGGGCCUGGACGAGGAUGGACUGGAAACCCCGGGGGAUGACGUCGCCGCUUUGCCCCCUGGCCCUGACCAACCCUUUGUUGUUGGGCGAGAUGAGGAAAUAGGUGUCAUAUUGGAGAUGAUACUGGAUGAUGCCCGUUUCGUGGCGGAUGAAUCGGUUGAGGAGAGGGCAAGUGCUGAUGGAUCACAGAUUUCUCGGAAAGGAUGGAUCAUCGAUGCCCUCCGGAGCAUAGAUCUAUCUGACCAGAGAAACCAACCUGCAGAAUCAGCAGCAGCAUACCAGAAAGAAAUGGGCAGCAGAGUGAAAUACACCAGGGUGCAGAGCAGCACUGUCAGUUCAAUGUGCAAUCCAACUGUCAUUCCAAUUGUUGGAGUGGGUGGAGUGGGGAAAACAGCUCUUGCUCAGUUCAUCUUCGACGACGAAAGGGUGCGGGAGCACUUCCGCGGUAAUUCCGCAUGGGUGUAUUUCACUGACAACAUCAGGAAAGAAGAACCGAUGGCGCAGAUCUUUGUAUCGAUGCAACCUGAGCAUAAUAUGCUGGACCAUGCUUUCAGUCUAAACAGCCUCCGUGUCCAACUUCAGAGCGUCAUAGAAGGCAAGAGGUUCUUGCUUGUGCUUGAUGAUGUAUCUGAUGAGAUACGUGCAAUGUGGGGCGAUUUAAGGAGUGCACUGAAGAAGGGAGCACCUGGAAGUGUUGUCUUAGUAACAACCAAUCUGUAUAGUGUGGCCAGCUUUGUGGGAACUACAACUCCAGUAUUUUUGGAUUAUCUACAUUAUGAUGACCUGUGGAAGCUUUUUAAGCAUCAUGCAUUUGCCAGUUAUCAAAGUACAGAAGCUCUAGAACCAAUUGGUAGAAAAAUUGUAGAUAAAGUACAUGGAUCUCCUUUGGCAGCGAAAUUCAUUGGGGCAUCAUUAAGAAAUUGUUUGGAUGAAGCGUAUUGGAAGAGAGUCUUAGAAAGUUGGUGGUGGAAUGUUUCAAGCUGCAGCUUCGACAUUCACAUAAUAUCAUCUUUCGGAAUUUGUCACAGUGAAUUACCUGCAUAUUUGAGGCAAUGCCUGGUAUUUUGUUCAAUCUUUCCUAGAAAUUAUUUAUUUGAAAAAUAUGAGUUGAUCCAAAUGUGGAUAGCUAAUGGUUUUGUUGAACUGGACAACACUACUGUUGCAAGAAAACUGGAGGAUGUAGCUGGUGAAUGGUUUGAUGAACUAGUCAAUAAGUGCUUCUUACAACCGACAGUUUGGAAAGCUUGGUAUAUUAUGCAUAGUUGGGUUAGAGACUUUGCAAUCGCCUUAUCUUCUAAUGAAUAUCAGGGUGUUGAUUGUACAAUGGGAAAUCUCCCACGAAGUGUACGUCACUUGUCCGUAGAUAUGGAUGCUAUGAAUAUACCAUGGACCGAGUAUAGCAUUAAACAGUUGCGAUCAUUAAUAUUAUUCGGUGGCUUCCGUCAUAACAACUCUAGCAAAGGUUUCAACAACAUUUACAACAUUUUGGAGGGCAGUUAUGAUGCUGCUGAUAGCAUUUCUGAGAGGUCUUAUAACACUACUGACAAGGACACUGCUGAUAACAUUUCUGAGUGGUCCUCUUUCAGUUUUGAUGAUGGGGAAGUUGAUAUCGUUGCUAUCAUUUUGAAAAGGUAUUGUGACAUUAUUGGUAGCAUUCUAAAUAGGUCAACAAGCUUGCGCUUGUUGAGCUUAUCUAACUUGAGAGCAAAUUCAGCAACAGCAUGCAUUGGUGAUUAUCCACUUGAAGAAGAUGGCAUUGCACAAUUUGUGGAGUUCACCACAACACAUCAGAUGCUGCCCUAUUUGACUCACCUCAGAUACUUGGAUUUUUCACACAGUGGGAUAACCAAACUCCCUGAUUCAUUAUGUAGCUUGUGCAAUCUCCAAGUUCUUGGUUUGAGAGGUUGUAGAUUCACACAAUUACCAAGAAGAAUGAACUCACUAGUUGGCCUACGGCACUUGCAUGCAGAUGCAGAUACGGUUGCUUUAAUUCAUGGCAUUGGACAGCUUACCAGGCUCCAAGACUUAUAUGAAUACCGUGUUAAAGCAGAGGAUGGUCACACGUUAAUUGAGUUAAAGGACAUGAGGUAUAUCCAAGGGUCCCUUUGUAUAUCAGAUCUACAGAGGGUGGCUAAUCGAGAAGAGGCAAUUCAGGCUAACUUAGGAAGGAAGGAGUAUGUUACCUGUUUAGCUCUGAAGUGGGAUAGAAAUCAGUCUUCUAGAGGUAAAUAUAAUCUAUAUGGAAAGGAGUUGAGUCAAUUCGACAGAGGUCAAAAGCAGCCACUUCAAGCUAGCUUAGUUGAGAAGAAUUAUACUUCAGAUAUAUCAGGAUAUCUGAUGAAUCCACCAGAGGUAAUUAAACCUGAUCAAGACAUGGAGAUAUUAGAGUGUUUGUCCCCACCAAGAAAUCUGCAGACGAUAAAAUUUUUUGGCUACACAGGUUUGGCUUUUCCAGAUUGGGUCGUACAACUCCGGUAUAUAAAAGUUAUUGAGAUAAGCCAUUGUACAGAACUCCAGGUGCUUCCUCCUUUUGGACAGCUUGAGCAUCUUAGGAAACUAAUUUUGCAUGAGCUGCCCUCCAUGAAGGAUGUUAGUUCUGAUGUCUAUGGAACCUCAAAUGUGGCCUUUAAAUCUUUGGAAAUCCUGUGUUUUGAGUCUAUGGGGAAGUUGGAAAAUUGGGCAGAUUCACAGAACGAAGAAAGCUUUUCAAACCUGCAAAAUCUGCAGAUUAAUAGAUGUGAUAACUUGAGGGAACUACCUUUGAUGUCCUUGGGCUUAGCUAUCAGAAAACUCUCUCUUACGGGUUGUGGAUCAUAUGCUGAAACAGUCUUCAGGUAUUUGCAAAAACUAACUAGCCUCACACACUUGAGCAUAAAUGAUUGCUCCCAGAAGUUAAUCCUUCCAUGUCAAAACCUGAUAUCAUUGGAGAAUCUGCAUCUUUCAAAUUGUAAGGAGCUAUACUUUGAGGGUGGAAUUCUUCGUCUUAACAACCUUAAAAAUCUACAUAUUUCUGGCUGCCGCAAAAUCAUAUCGACAGUUGAGGAAGAGAUUAACCGACUGUUUUCUAACUGGGAAAUAAGGUUGGGCAAAGACCAGUCACUUGUUCUCAAAAGUGGACUCCUCAAUAUAGCCAAAGAGCUGGGUACAAAAAGGAGAGAACUCCCCCUUCCCGGUUCUCCGCAAAAAGAAGAAUUUAUGCAUACUUUACAAUAUCUCACUGACCUUACAAUGGAUAACCUUUCCCAGUCUUCAGAUCUUGAUAAUUUUCUUUGCAAGCUUUCAGCACUUCGAACUCUGUGUCUCCACAAGAUCGAUGUGAUCUCUCUUCACCAAGAGAAGUGGCUUGAGCAGAUUACAUCCCUACAAGAGCUUGAGUUCUCUUGUUGCUACCUGCUAAGGCAGCUCCCAUCAAACUUGGUCACUCUGUCAUCCCUGAAGAAGUUAAAUAUGCAGUCAUGUUUCCAAAUUCACUCGCUACCAUUGAAAGGCCUACCAGGUAACCUAAGAGAGUUACAAAUAUUAGGAUGCUCACCUAUACUAGAGGCACGAUGCCAGAAGGAAGAUGGAGAGACAUGGGUGAAGAAGAAGAGAGGGGAAUGGCAUAAAGAGACGAUAAACGAGUACCGACAGAAGAAAACAUGUGAGUUCUGGGAAGGGUGGUUAAAGUAUGAGGAAGAGUGGGUGGAGAGUGCUACAGAUCAUCUGAACGAUAAGGGAGAGUGGUUAGAGAAUGAAGAAGAGGACUGGCUGAAGAAUAAUUCAGAUGAACUGGAAAAUAAUGAAGAUGUGUGGCUCAAGAGUAGGGGCGAAGACUGGCCAAAGAUUGCUCAUAUUCCUUAUAUCCGUGUGAAUGGAGAUAUUAUACAGAAUUUUUAUCUGUGAAACUUCAGCGUGCAGCUUUCCGAAAUCUGUGUAAAGGUAUUCUUGUGUAGAAGUGUUUGACCAUUUUUUCUAGUCCAGGACAACCAACGGUGUCUUUGUGCGUUGCAGCAGAGGAACUAAUAUGAUGCAGCUACGUAACGUGACUGAUAUCCGGAGUGUCAAAGGCAUUGUCCAGACUGAACUGGUGAAAUGGGCUUCUGAAAAUGAGAUAGCCGGCAGUUGGCUCCUCUCUCAAGCUAUAUCGACGCAUCAUGCUAGCUAGUUGUUGGUUCUUGUUCGGUUAAUCUUUCUCCACAGAAAUCGGAGGAGAUCGGGGGUUAAUUUCACACCUGAAGCACUUGGAAAGCGUCAGGAAAAAAGUUCCCAUGUAACAUCUGACAUGUCUCCUGCCGCAUUCGCCUGUAAAAUUGGUGAUCAUGAUCCAGCAUCUAACUGAUAGCGCUGAUGGUUGUUCCAGGAGUGAUUUAAAAGCCAAAGAAUCGAUGAAGAGCAAUGGAAUUGACUGCGGUUUGCAGAGCUGUUGUACUUGUAUUAAGUGGCGGAGCCAGAAAUUUUCUACGCCUAGGGCUUAAGUAGGGCUCAUCUAAUAGGAUAUUGGCUUUCUAAAAAAAAUACAUGGUGAUUUAAAAGGAUUUAGGCAAGUUUAUGGUGGCAAGCCUAGGGCUUAUGCCCAAGCUGCCCUAGGCUUGCCUCCUUGCCUCCGCCCCUUAAAAGUUGUACAUGACUGAGGAAACAUCAGGCUGAGAGAUCACCUAAAUGGCGUUUUGUAAAUUGUAAUCGAUGUUAGCAUGCCUUUGAUUGUGAUGAUUUCUAAAUCAACUUGGACAA